This is a long non-coding RNA of Apteryx haastii (Great spotted kiwi), 2022 nucleotides long. Lineage: Eukaryota; Metazoa; Chordata; Aves; Apterygiformes; Apterygidae. The record is from Ensembl.
AUGCCUCUAUUUCAGGGGAAUUGGAGGGGGAAGAGUUUGGGGUUCAGGUCUUUGCUGUCUAACCCCACUGCAGUGGAUGGGUGCAGAGAGACCCUGUGUAAUGCUGUAUCAGACAAUGAUCCUUGGUUUAAAAAAAUCAGCCUCUGUGACACUCAGCUGUCUUCCUUGAUGCCAAAGAGGUCGCAACAGCGUUUUUUUUUUUUUUUUUUUNNNNNNNNNNNNNNNNNNNNNNNNNNNNNNNNNNNNNNNNNNNNNNNNNNNNNNNNNNNNNNNNNNNNNNNNNNNACACUGUUGCUUCCACUCUGCUGUAAAAAUUUACAUGCAGAUAAAUCUGUCGUUAAAAUUCAUGUACACUGUGUCCAAGGCAUAAUACUAAAUAAUAGAUGUAAUCCCUUUGAACUAUACAGUCAUAUCAGAGUUGACGAUAAAUUACUUGGGAGUAAGCAUAUUGGAGUGAAUUUAAGUCCACUUCAUAAACUCACUGCAAAUGAAACAUUAAUUAUUCUGUGAGCAAGUCUGGCAAAAACUCAGCGUGGCGUGUCAGUAUUUCCAGAAGCCUAAACUACUGGCAGAGCUGAGGCCACUUCCCUGCCGUUUAAGUUCACUGCCAAAAAAAAAGGUAAAGACCCUUAACGCAGCGCCCACGUGCCAGCGACACUGUGCUGCGAUCCAACAGCUAGAACUAACACCGAGCAGCACUUGACCGCUGGGUUUGAAUUCCCAGCUUUUGGGUGGUGUUUGGGCCAUCCAAACAUGUGUGGUAUGUUCUUGGCCUUUCUGAAGGCCACGGCAGUGCUGGUGAUAAAUYCAGGGUUUUACCCAGUUCCUCAGAAAGCUGGCGUUCUUCCGCAGGACACCGAACACCUUCGCCUGCGUCCGUGCAAGAGCUUAAYGCUACCGAUGAGAACCAACGAUGCCCUCCCCGCUAAUUAAUGGGUGUUCUAGGACUGCCCUAGCUGGCGGCUGCACUGCUAAUUAUAGUUAAUACUUCUCAUUGGGCCUUUUUUUCCUUGAAUUAGUCUGGCUACUUCUUGAAUCCAAGAACAUUUUUUAGCAUCUGAGAUAUUAUGUGGUCAAAUUACACAUCAUGUGAAACACUGCUUCCUUUCUUUUGGUCCCUGAUACCUCUAAGCGCUUGAUAAUAUUGUUUGUAAUCCCUUAGUUAUUGUGUAACAGUAAUUGUUGCCUGUUUACCAGCUCCAUACCAUUCCUGAUGAGUGACACUGCCAGCCUAUCCGUCUCCCCACCUCUCUGUUUUCCAAGAUGAAGUAUUCCGGUUGCUUUUAAUCUCUUCUUGAACAGAAGCCAYCCCAUCAUCCUUGUUGCUUUUAUGUAUCUUUUUAAUUUUUUACUAUAUCCUUUCAUCUAUCCAUCCUGAGAUGAGGUGACUGGCGUUGCACACGCUGUUCUAGGUGUGACGGCACCGAGGGUUUCCGUGGGGCUUGCCUAGUAAUAGAGAACUGGUACUUUCUGGGACAGUUCAUUUUUGUGUACUGAUUCUGAACUGGGAAAUUAUAUCUGGUAGCAUCUUCUCCUUUUCUCAGAGUGUGGGGGCAUAAGCACCGUGGUUAGGGUGGCCUAAGUAAUUUUUCCUACGUAAAACAGCACUUUCUCUAAUUAGUUUUCAUACUUUUCUACCAGUGGAGAUGGAGGCACCUUAGGUGUCAACCAAAAAGAGGCAUACGAAAAACCCUAAUGAUGAGCAAAACAGAUAUGGAAGAGGGAAUGAAUAUGUACAGCACCAUUUAAUGCAGAAYGAAAUUUCGUGUUGCUUAGUGAUGCUUCCCUAGUGUAUCCUUCUGACAUAAAUUCUGUCAUUUGAUUUCUAAAUAAUUUACGGGUCACUGACACAUAUAUAAUGUCUCCAGAUUCUUACAUACUGUGCUUCAGAAAUUCCAAGUGUCAAAGAUGUUAGGCUAUAUUGUGAUUUAGACAUGCAGGGAAUUUGUGCGUGUAAUUUACAUUAAGGAACGGGAAAUCUACAUGAAUAAACCAUCUUCUCAUGGGGAAAAGAAUGUUCUU